Myotis brandtii (Brandt's bat) is the source of this 158-nucleotide non-coding RNA. NCBI's taxonomy places the organism in Eukaryota, Metazoa, Chordata, Mammalia, Chiroptera, Vespertilionidae. The record is from Rfam.
CAGUGUUCAUCAUGGCAAUCAGAUGGCACCAGGACAAAUGGAGCUCUGGCCAGUGUGGGGCCUAGCAGUGCAGGAGGGGAGAUCCUGAAGGAGAAAGACUGCCUAAAUUGAAGCCUGCCAAUUGAAUUUCCAGAGUCUUAGGAGGAGAAAAUUCUCCA